UGGGGAAUAUUGCGCAAUGGAGAAGAACUCUGACGCAGCAAUACCGCGUGAGCGAAGAAGGUCUUCGGAUCGUAAAGCUCUGUUAUCAGGGAAGAAGAAAAUGACGGUACCUGAUGAGCAAGUCCCGGCUAACUACGUGCCAGCAGCCGCGGUAAUACGUAGGGGACAAGCGUUGUCCGGAAUCACUGGGCGUAAAGGGCGCGCAGGCGGUGAUUUAAGCAGGAUGUGAAAGGCUACGGCUCAACCGUAGACAUGCACCCUGAACUGGGUCACUUGAGUAUUGGAGAGGCAGGCAGAAUUCCUGGUGUAGCGGUGAAAUGCGUAGAUAUCAGGAGGAAUACCGGAGGCGAAGGCGGCCUGCUGGACAAAUACUGACGCUGAGGCGCGAAAGCGUGGGGAGCAAACAGG
Molecule: ribosomal RNA, 408 nt
Filed under: uncultured bacterium
Lineage: Bacteria
Description: bacterial SSU rRNA
Rfam family: Bacterial small subunit ribosomal RNA
Source: RNAcentral